Long non-coding RNA from Acomys russatus (golden spiny mouse), 511 nucleotides. RefSeq lists it as uncharacterized. The transcript has 3 exons. NCBI's taxonomy places the organism in Eukaryota, Metazoa, Chordata, Mammalia, Rodentia, Muridae. The record is from RefSeq and is a predicted model, not a curated record.
GAGAGACACGCACCCAUGCGGUCUGUCCACUGCUCCCCUUCACAGUAGAGGCAGAAAGGAGGUGUCGCCCCUAGAGUCACCCUCCAGGGCAGAAGCGAGCUCCUGUAUAAGUGGCGCCAAAACUUGUAGAAUCUCCACACGUGAAGCCUUGUGAAGACAGCCAACAGAAGAAACACCACGAUGGGCUUGCUGGAUUUCAGUCUGAAACAUCUAAGCCAGACUGUCGGGAGACAGACACACUUCAAAUACAGAAAAAGCUAAGCACGUUCCACGCAGGCUCCACAAACUGGUGAGUCAGUUCUGUCUUACAAAGGUGGGUGUUGAGAGCGACACGUCAUGCUCGCUAAACCAGCCCGACCGCUCCUGCGUUUUAACUACUUGGCAGUUUGGCUUCAAGUGGACUGGAACAAAGCGUCCUUUCCCACCACCACUCAGAAGAAACGUCAUUUGUCAUCGCCCCUAAACCUUCGGCUGUGCUUUACUAAAUAGGGAAAAAUGAUUGCAUGGCUUU